AAGUCGAACGAGGUCCUCGGACCUAGUGGCGCACGGGUGAGUAACAUGUGGGAAUCUACCUGAAGGUUCGGAAUAACUGCGGGAAACUGUAGCUAAUACCGGAUGUGUCUGCAAAGAGAAAGAUUUAUCGCCUUCAGAUGAGCCCGCACUAGAUUAGCUAGUUGGUGAGGUAACUGCUCCACCAAGGCUACGAUCUAUAGCUGAUUUGAGAGGAUGAUCAGCCACACUGGGACUGAGACACGGCCCAGACUCCUACGGGAGGCAGCAGUAGGGAAUAUUGGACAAUGGGGGAAACCCUGAUCCAGCAAUGCCGCGUGAGUGAAGAAGGCCUUAGGGUUGUAAAACUCUUUCAUCAACGAUGAUAAUGACAUUAAUUGAAGAAGAAGCUCCGGCUAACUUCGUGCCAGCAGCCGCGGUAAUACGAAGGGGGCUAGCGUUGUUCGGAAUCACUGGGCGUAAAGCGUAUGUAGGCGGAUCAAAAAGUUAGAUGUGAAAUCCCUGGGCUCAACCCAGGAACUGCAUUUAAAACUAGUGAUCUAGAAUUUGGUAAGGGUUAGUAGAAUUUCCAGCGUAGAGGUGAAAUUCGUAGAUAUUGGAAAGAAUACCAGAAGCGAAGGCGACUAACUAGGCCAUUUUUGACGCUGAGAUACGAAAGCGUGGGUAGCAAACAGGAUUAGAUACCCUGGUAGUCCACGCAGUAAACGAUGAGUGCUAGUCGCUGGUGCAAUAGUAUCAGUGUCGUAGCUAACGCGUUAAGCACCCCGCCUGGGGAGUACGGUCGCAAGAUUAAAACUCAAAUAAAUUGACGGGGACCCGCACAAGCAGUGGAGCAUGUGGUUUAAUUCGACGCAACGCGAAGAACCUUACCAGCGUUUGACAUGGAAAGUACUGGUUACAGAAUGGUAACUUUCAGUACG
This 917-nucleotide ribosomal RNA is filed under the name uncultured marine bacterium. RNAcentral's name for it is "bacterial SSU rRNA". It matches the Rfam family "Bacterial small subunit ribosomal RNA", at positions 59 to 1022 of the family's 1533-position model. The record is from RNAcentral.